ACGCCGCGUGCGGGAGGAAGGCCUUAGGGUUGUAAACCGCUUUUAUCAGGGAAGAACACAAUGACGGUACCUGAUGAAUAAGCCUCGGCUAAUUCCGUGCCAGCAGCCGCGGUAAUACGGGAGAGGCGAGCGUUAUCCGGAAUUAUUGGGCGUAAAGCGUCCGCAGGUGGCCAAUUAAGUCUGUCGUUAAAUCGUGGAGCUCAACUCCAUACAAGCGAUGGAAACUGAUUGGCUAGAGUACGGUAGGGGUAGCGGGAAUUCCAGGUGUAGCGGUGAAAUGCGUAGAUAUCUGGAAGAACACCAGCGACGAAAGUGCGCUACUUGGCCUGUACUGACACUCAUGGACGAAAGCCAGGGGAGCGAAAGGGAUUAGAUACCCCUGUAGUCCUGGCCGUAAACGAUGAACACUAGGUGUUGCGCGAAUCGACCCGUGCAGUGCCGUAGCCAACGCGUUAAGUGUUCCGCCUGGGGAGUACGCACGCAAGUGUGAAACUCAAAGGAAUUGACGGGGGCCCGCACAAGCGGUGGAGUAUGUGGUUUAAUUCGAUGCAACGCGAAGAACCUUACCAAGGCUUGACAUCCCCCGAAUCUCUGGGAAACCGGAGAGUGCCUUCGGGAGCGGGGAGACAGGUGGUGCAUGGCUGUC
This 646-nucleotide ribosomal RNA is filed under the name uncultured cyanobacterium. Its description in RNAcentral is "bacterial SSU rRNA". It matches the Rfam family "Bacterial small subunit ribosomal RNA", at positions 394 to 1053 of the family's 1533-position model. Lineage: Bacteria; Bacillati; Cyanobacteriota. The record is from RNAcentral.